RNAcentral lists this ribosomal RNA (253 nucleotides) under uncultured bacterium. RNAcentral describes it as "partial 16S ribosomal RNA". It matches the Rfam family "Bacterial small subunit ribosomal RNA", at positions 524 to 776 of the family's 1533-position model. The record is from RNAcentral.
UACGAAGGGGGCGAGCGUUGUUCGGAUUUAUUGGGCGUAAAGGGCGCGUAGGCGGCGCGUUUUGUCAGGCGUGAAAGCCCCGGGCUUAACCUGGGAACUGCGUUUGAUACGGAUGGGCUAGAGUUCGGGAGAGGAGAGUGGAAUUCCCAGUGUAGAGGUGAAAUUCGUAGAUAUUGGGAAGAACACCGGUGGCGAAGGCAGUUAACUAGGCGAGUCCUGACGUUGAGGCACGAAAGCGUGGGGAGCAAGACGG